This 475-nucleotide transfer RNA is filed under the name rhizosphere bacterium GWR05. Its description in RNAcentral is "16S-23S intergenic spacer". The stretch from base 196 to 269 matches the Rfam family "tRNA". The record is from RNAcentral.
UCGAGUACGACUGACCCACCCAAGGCGUCCACACAAGGCACCUGCAUCCAGAAUUAAAGAGCCCGGUAGAUACCGGGGCUCCGUUAGACGGGGCUGCAGCUCAGCUGGGAGAGCACCUGCUUUGCAAGCAGGGGGUCACCGGUUCGAUCCCGGUCAGCUCCACCAACCAGCACUAAGGCGAGUGAUCGCACAUUUGGGUCUGUAGCUCAGGUGGUUAGAGCGCACCCCUGAUAAGGGUGAGGUCGGUGGUUCGAGUCCUCCCAGACCCACCAUUCUGGAUGUAUCUGCGCACACGAAUUUACAGCAGUACGGCAUUGUGGCCGUAGUGCGUUCUUUGACAACUUGGGAUGUGAACAAGCGUUUGGGACUCAGAUCGAGUCACCAACACGUGUCGAGGCAAGUAGGCGAAACAAUGAGGAGUUUGGCCAAUCCGAGGCAACUUGGAGUUAUAUGGUCAAGCGACUAAGCGCAUACG